ACACAUGAGAACACAUACAGGUGAUAAACCUCAUGACUGUGACGUAUGCGGUAAAAAGUUUAGUCGUCUUUGUAAUUUACAGACACACAUGAGAAUACAUACCGGUGAUUACCCUCAUGAAUGUGGUGUAUGCGGUAAAGGAUUCGGUCGGCUUGAUCAUUUACAGAAUCACACAAAAACACAUAAUGGCGAUAAACCUCAUAUCGGUGAUGUAUCCGUUAAAAACUUUAAUUAGCUUGGUAUUUUACAUGAUACUAGUAAUACAUAAUAGCGAUAAAACUUAUAUCGGUGAUGUAUGCGUUAUAAAGUUUAAUGAGCCUGGUAUUUUACAUGAGAACAAAUACAGGUGAUAAACCUCUUGAAAGCGAUAUAAUUAUAUAAGUGGUUAAGUGUUUAGCCACGAUAGUUUACAGAUUAACAUGAGAACUCAUACCUAUAGUAAGAUCUGUGACGUAUACAUAUAUGGCAAAGAAUUUAUGCAUUUUAUUGAUUUGCACAUAAUCAUAAUUGAAGCAUAUGAAAAUAUAUAUAGCAGAUACACCUUAUGUUUGUGAUGUACGCGAUAAAGGAGUUACCAAUCCUAGUAGUUAACAGUUUCGCAUGAAAACACAUACAGUCGAUAAAUCUCAUUAUUGUGAUAUUGAUAGUAAAAUGUUUAGUUAUCUUAGAAAUGUACAGAGAUACAUGAGAACACAUAUACAGCCGAUAAAUCUCAUUAUUGUGAUGUUGAUGGUAAAAUGUUUAGUGAUCUUAGAAAUGUACAGAGACACAUGAGAACACAUAUAGGAAAAUUACUGUGAUGUUGGAAGUAAAGGCUUUAUUUAUAUUAAAAAAUGUGCAGAGACACAUGAGAACACAUACAGGAGAUAAAUCUUAUUACUUUGAUUUUAGUGGUAAACGUUUUAGUUAUAUAAAAAAUGUGCAGAGACACAUGCAAACCCAUAUGUGAGAUACGUUUUAUGUAUGUGGUAAAAGUUUUAAUCGGCUUUGUAAUUUACAGAAACACAUUACAAGACUUGUUUUUGUAUACAUUGUAUACAGCCUGUAAACUCACAGGAAUGUAUUUACUGCAUGUGUGUCAGAAUUCAUUGAAAUUUGUGACUUACAAAGACACUUUAGAAUACAAACUUGGGUAAAACUCGUUCAAAGGACAAAGGACUUUUGUGUUAAAGAAUUAAUCCAUUAAACAUUGAUAAAGAUUGUGUAGAUGUAAGAACAUUUAAGCACAUGUAUAUAUCCAUAUAUCUGUUUAUUGAGAUAAACCUUGAAUUUUUCAUUUAUGUGGUGGGAUGUUUAGAGCGAGUUGUAAUUUUUAAUUAUAUAUAUAUAUAGAAAGACACAUUAGAACACAAAAGAAGAUGUGGUAUGCUUGCCAAUGAGACAACUGUCCACAAGAGAACACAUAGGAACACAUGUAGGAGAUAACCCUCAUAUAUAUGAUAAUUUGAGAAUCAUGUAUGUGAUAUUUAGUAAACACUUCAGUCGGCUUAGUAAUUUUCAAUGACACAAGUGAAUACCUGCAUGGGAUAAACAUGUAUGUGAUGUAUUGCUAACGGGUUUAGUCCGCUUUCUAAUUUGCUGAGAACACACAUAUUACAUUAGAACACAUUAUGUAUGAUAAUGUGAUGUUUGGUGAAGGGUUUAGUCGGCUUUCUAAUUUGCAGACACAGUAGACAGUGGCGUAGCUAGGUCAUUUUUAAAUGUACGUCCGAACCUCGGUCCUAUUUGAUCCAGGCCAAUGAACCAGCUGGUAGUAGAUGAGCGGGUGCUAAGCCUCCGGAAGUUUUUAAGUUAUCGAGAAUGACAUACCAUUCCUGUCAUUGAAAACUCAUAUCAAUAACAACAUUCUUUAGAUUCAAAAUGCUUAUUUUUUAUGUUUAAUCUAUUCAUUGUUUAUUUAGAAUCGUAAAAAAACAUGAAAUGAUUAAUUUUCUGAGUUGUUCAGGUGCAAUAUUAAAAUGUGUAAAUAGAACCCUGGUUUUCGCCUGAAAUUUCUCCCCGUAAAAGUUUAUUCAUUUAUCAGUCCUUUAAAGGAUUUAAACAAAUCAAAUAUUUUCAUUUAAUUUCUGCACAAGUUUUAUAACAAAAUAUGGAGGUUUAUAUCAUGUAAAUUAACUCGACAUCAUAGAUACCAGGAUGGAAAUUUAUUCUAUCGCUAUACGCGUUUUCCUCCAAGAAAGUUUCAUUAACUUUGACCACGGUUUUAUAAAUAAUUUAUAUGUACCAAAUUUUAACCUCAGAAUGUAACUUCUUCAAGAAAUUCCUUUUAAAAAUCCAUAAAUAACGGGAAAAUUCAUCAUAUAUAAUUUCGUCAUGUCUGAUGCGCUGGAUACUCUUUUGACCAUAAACAGUUUUUGUCCAGAUAUCGUAAAAUCAUACGACGGUUUGAAAAAGUUAUUUAAAAUAUAUAAAAACUUUAACCACAUACUGAACCUACAUCUACACAGUUCAACAAAUUGAAUGAGCAAAGCCCAUACCGCAUAGUCAGCAAUAAAAGGCCCCGAUAAGACAAUGUAAAACAAUUCAAACGAGAAAACUAACGGCCUUAUUUAUGUAAAAAAAAAUGAACAAAAAACAAAUAUGUAACACAUAAACAAACGACAACCACUGAAAUACAGGCUCCUGACUUGGGACAGUCACAUACAAUGUACAUAAUGUGGCGGGGUUAAACAUGUUAGCGGGAUCCCAACCCUCCCUCUAACCUGGGACAGUGGUAUAACAGUACGAACUAUAAAAAUCAGUUGAAAAAGGCUUAAUUCAUCAGAUGGACAAAAUUACAAGUGGACGUGGCCAAGUACUUAAACAUCCCAACACAAAAAGACACAAUGAACAGUUCUGAGAGUACUUGCAGUUAUCUGACAGCUAGUUCAAAGCCACUAACAACUAAUAAAAAAAUCAUGCAUCUAAGACUAAACUAUCAAUCCGUACACAUCCAACAACCAAUGGAUUUAGUGUAAAGACGUCAUAAACAGCCAGAGAAAAGCAUGACCUUGUGCAAUGCCAAGUUACAGGUAUCGACAGAUUGUAGAUCCAUGAAUAUGUGUAUGUAUAUGUUACAGUAAAUAGGUGAAAUUAGGAAUUACACGUAAUUACUAAACAUUUCAGUAAAUACCUGUAAUUACUAGCCAAUUUAGUAAUUACAUGUAUUUACUGGUUGUUUCAGUGAUUACUGGUAUUCACUGAUUUUUUUUGUCAUUUUUACAGCUAUUUACUAACUUGAUAUAUUUGUUAUAAAAUUAAAGAUAUAUAAUUCAAGAAACCAAAUAAUAAAGUAAAAGGGUAGGUAUUUUAGGGCUUACUUAAUUAAGGAUUAAGGAAUAUAACACACAUCAAAAGUGUAUACUAUUUAGUGUUUGUGAACUAAUACUGGAAAGUGGUUGUUUUAACAGUUUUGUAACUCCCUAAAAUUCAUUUUCAACAUGCAAGACAAUGAUAUCAAUCCACUAUUAAGAAAUGCAUUAAAUUGUGAGAAUUUUAUAGGCAACUUUGUCACCUCCAUAUUCCAUAAUGCCAAAUUUUGUUGAAUACUCCAGACAGUUCUUAAAUUCUCAGAAUUUAUUUAAAUCAAAAUCUCCCAAUGACACAAGUUAAAUUCCUUUACAAAAUAGGUUUAUUUAAGACUUCUUUUGUCAGACUGUUGCGAUAAAGCUGACAUUCUUCACAAACAAAUUUAUACACUUUGAUGGUGUAAGAGUCACAUUUCAUAUUUCUGUGUUUCUCUUUUUUAUGAGUUUUUCAAGACCUCCAAACUUAAGCUUAUAAACCUGCAACAAAAUUUUAUCAUCGUUUUUACUUGUUUAAGAAUCAUCUUUUUGUGGAUUGUAUAAAUCAACUAACUUGUUCAUCCCUUUUGUUUUACUUUCAAUGUUGUCAUUCUGUUUCUUAUUGUCGAAACUGCGACUAUUAUCGCAAAAGCGAGACAUAGCAAACCAUUCUGUCGUCAGUAGCGUCCACACAUAUUCACUAUGUGGUUAAAGUUCUACUAAACCUGAACAGAAGCUUGUUUAUGAUCAGAAGAUAAUUUUCAAGAAGUAAAUUUUGUAAAAGUAAAAUUUAUUUUUCCGUAUUUUACUUAUAAAUGGACUGUUUUUAUGUCAGUGAACAUUACAUUCACACUGUGGUUAAAGCUUUUAAAAUUUUAAUAAUUUCUCAAACUAUCCUGGAUUUCUACCAAGCUUGGACAGAAGCUGUAUAUGAUCAUAAGAUAAUACCCAUAAGUAAAAAUAAAAUCCUUUUUCAUAUAUUCCUUAUAAAUGUACUUCGUUUUUCCCCAGUUAAUAUACACUCUGCAGGUUUUUUUUUAAACAUUUAUAAGAUUUCAUAAACCAUCCUGGAUUUUAACCAAAUUUGGACAGAAGCUUCUUACAGUACUUGUCAAAAGAUAGUUUCUGUAGGAAAAUUUUAAUAUUUUUUCCCCAUUUUUGUUGAGCCUGCAAGUAACAGCUAAAGUAGGCAAGAUAUUGGUUCCGCGAAACCUUACAAUUUUAAAACUGAAUACAUCAGUAAUAUAUCUCCAGCUACGCGUUGAAUUGUAGGUCACAUGCUUACGUUUUCAUUUAGGUCCACUUAUUCACUUGCAAGUGCACCAGUACCAGAUUGACUGCUAAAAUAUUAUUUCACUAUAUCAUUUUCAUUAAUUAUUUAACAAAAUAAAAAUCAUAUCUUAUUUUUUUGUAUAUAUCUCGUAGCUAAUGCUCCUAUAACAAAAAGGUACAUUUUAGGCUAAUCACUUUUUAAUAAAAGUACUGACUGAUGUUCUAUAGUUGGUAUUUCCAUAACUUUUGAUCAGCUGACCACAUUACAACAUUGUUUUAACAGUUAGUAAAUAGGUGUAAAAAUUCAUUUUAAAAUUAGUAAUUACUGGUAAUAACUGGGCCGUUUCAGGAAUUACUUGUAUUUACUAAGUGCAUUGGGGAUUACAUGUAAUUCCUGAAUUUUAGUAAUUACAUGUAAUUCCUAAUUUCACCUAUUUACUGUAACAUAUAUAACAUACUAGUAAUAUUUAGUUGGCUUUUAAUUUACUGAUAACAAAAUCAAUGUUUAUACCAAUAAAGUAUAACAGUACAACAUAAGAAAGAACUAUAAAAAUCAGUUUACGUCUCGGGCUGAUAUAGAGCUCUCAGAGUGAUACCCGGGCCGAUAUGGAAAAGGCAAUGUACAAAAUGUAUUAAUCUCUAUGUAUCGCAUUAGGGACGACAUAAAAAGUUCAAUGUAUAGGAUAAAAAAAACUUCAUUCAUAUAGUUUUUUUCACUACCCCCUCCCUAGACUUGUUCGCCUGUCUAGAUCAAUGUGCAUAUUACAUAUUUCAUAUAUCUAUAGAACAAUGUGAUUAUAUAUAGCGGGAUCACCUCCCUACUCCCCUCUUAACUUAAUUUGUGAAAAAUUGAUUGACCAAUAAGGAUAUAUAUAUACAAAACUUGCAGCAAUUUUGACCCCCACCCCCACAAAAUUUGAAUUAAGUUUUUUAUCCUUUAUUGAUCGAUUUUCUGAUGUCAACUCGUCCCUUAUCAUCUUAUACCUUUAUCUUUACCUAUCAUGUAUUUGCCACCUCUGUCAGAUGAACCACUGACACUUGUCUUUUGUCAGUGUGGAUUAAACUGGUUAAAACCCUAUGAAUUGUCACUAUAUACAUAUACACGGUCACAAUAACAACGAUGUACUAAUAAAAUUGGUUCGAUAGAAAUCGUCUGGCCAUAUGAGCUAAUGCAGUUGACCCAUUAUUUAUGGUAUUAGAGAUACGAAUUUGUGUUACAUAUUUAUUUUUCUCGUUUGAAUCGAAUUGUUUUACAUUUCAGAUUUCGGGGCCCUUUAUAACUGAAUAUGCGGUAUGUGGUUUGCUCAUUGUUGAAGGCCGUAUGGUGACCUGUAGCAGUAAACUUCUGUGUUAUUUGGUCUGUUGUGGAGAGCUGUCUCAUUGCCUAUCAUACCACAUCUCCUUUUUUUCUAUAUUGAGCACGAAAUAUUAACCUUGAUCAUGGAUAUAAACCAAUAGGAAACGAUCAUUUAACUUCCAGGAAAGGGGGGGGGGGGUACAUGUAUGUUUUUUUUUUGGGUCUUUUUUAAAUCCUGAUCCCCAAUUUGAUGGGAAAAAACAUGUUUUGGUCAAGCAGAUUACAAAACAAAAAUAUUCUAAAAGCAGAUUUCCCCCCUAAUUUAAAGGGUUAAAUAUCAAAAAUAAAUAAUCUGAUUGAUAAAUGUACGAAUGAUCCAGUUGUAUCUUCCCAGCAUAAAGGUGUAGUACAGAACAUUUGUGUAUCGCAUUAGGGACGACAUAAACAGAUCGAUGUAGGAUGAAACACUUUAUUCCUAUAGCUUUACCACUGAAACCCCUACCCCCCCCUCUUAACUUAAUUUGGGGGGGAAUGAUUGACCAAGAAGGAUAUAUAUACAAAAAUGCAGCCCUAAACAAUUUGAAUUAAGUUUUUUAUCCUUCAUUGAUCGAUUUUCUGAUGUCGUCUCUUGUCCCAUCUUAUAGAUGAUCCUACAUAAGAGUGUACCGAAAUAGAACGGCGAGUCAGUGUAAAGAAAGAAAAUCAUGAUAACGUUAGUUUCUUUUCCUGGACAUAUAUUCUCUUGUCAUGGGAAAAAGUAGGUUUAUUCAUAUGGACAAAGCACAUUAUAUAUGAUAGACAGGGGCAGAGCAGGCCUUUUUCUAAAGGGAUCCCAACCCAAAAUAAAGGAGGGGGUUCAAACUAUAUGUCCCCAUACAAAUGCAUUGAUCGUCCAAUAAAGGGGUUCCAACCCCCCGGAACCCUCCCCCUGGAUCCGCCACUGAUAGAUCAUGCUAGAUAAUCGUUGUUGAAAAAAAAGAACAACAUAACAUCACAAUACUCAUUCAAUAAAAAAAGCCGCGGGAAUCCUACAAGUUUCCGGAAAUAGAACAUUUGUAUCUCCUUUUCUGUUUGACUGUUCGGUCUCUAAGUUAAUGAUUUGUUGAAUUAAUGAUUUAAAUAUUAUAUUUAGGUUACAACCAUAUCUAUAAAAGACAUACAAAAUAAUAUUUUUGGUAGUCCAUUUAUGACGUCUUGCAAGGCUAUUAUAAUAUUUUUUUCUGGGACACCUACAUCGUGUAAAACAUUUUUGUAAAAAGGUGAGAAUAAAUGAAUGCUUUGUUAGCUAUAAACGCCUCCCAUUAUACGUGUUAUAUGGAGCUUAUCUAUAGUUUUUAUUGUGUAAUAUGUUGUUGUAAUGAUAAUGCAUAAAUAUAGUAUUAAGGCCUCACUGUAGUUCUGUUUAUUUUCCCCUUUUUUCAAAACUACAUGUAUAUACCGUUUUACGUCACUAGCACACUAUGUAACGCAUUCAUCUUACCGACUAUUUUAACGUGUGAAAUUAAGACUAUUGACCUAUCAACUCUUCAAAACUGUUAGCAUUAAGAAACUAAUUAAAUUGAUCCUUCAACAACAGAUGCCAACAAUAAGAACUUGAUAGGUUUAAAUGUGUUUUAUGAAUUUAUUUCCAUCUUAAUCAUCAAUUUCUUCGUCUGUUAAACCCUUUAAGAUUUUUCUUUUCCACUUCACCCGGGCUUUUAAGUAGGACCGAUACAAGGACGUCACACCACUCCUAACCGUGUAUAAAAUAAGCCCCGACUACUUUCUAACCCAACAUGGUACACAAAGGGACGUAACACCACUACUAACUGUGACUGUAUAAAAUAAGUCCCGACUCCCUACUAGCCUAAUAUGAAAUAUACACAGUCUCCACGUGGACGCUUUAAAUCCAAUCAUAUUCCUAUAAAUGUGUAGGAGGUAAUGGCGGUAAGAUAAUGUUUGUUACACCAUAGACAACAUAGACUGUUACAGUGAUUUACAGAGAGGUGCCUACAGUCUGCAGAGUUUAACCUUAAAUUUAUUUGCUUUUAAUUACAGAGUUGAACAAGGACACAAUUACUGGAGUUGAACUUUAUUGAACAUGUUGAAAGGAUGAAUGUCUUGGAGGAUUAUUUGACGAAUAAUUGAUGGAUCGGUUAAGCCGCUAAUUAGCAAGAAAGUGUGAAAACGCAAGCAGACGAUACACAUGAUAAAUCUCAUGUCUGUGUCUGUGAUGUUUGCGGUAAAGGGUUUAGACAGCCUGUUCAUUUACAGGUUCACAUGAGAACACAUACAGGUGUAAAACCUCACUACUGUGGAGUAUGCGGUAAAGGUUUUAAUCGACUUGGUAAUUUACAGAGUCACAUGAGAAUACAUACGGGUGAAAAACCGUAUGACUGUGGUGUCUGUGGUAAAGGGUUUAGUCAGUCGGGUACUUUAAAAACUCACAUGAGAACACAUACUGACGAUAAACCUCAUACCUGUAAUGUAUGUGGUAAAGGGUUUAGUCAAUCGGGUAGUUUAAAGAGUCACAUGAAAACACAUACGGACGAUAAACCUCAUGCCUGUGGUAUAUGUGGUAAAGGUUUUAGUCAGCGUCCUUAUUUACAGAGGCACAUGCAAACACAUACAGGUGAAAAACCUCAUCACUGCGGUGAAUGUGGUACAGGGUUUAGUCCACGUCGGUAUUUACAGAGGCACAUGAGAACACAUACAGGUGAAAACCCUCAUCACUGUGGUAUAUGUGGUAAAGGCUUUAGUCAUCGUCGCUAUUUACAGAAGCACAUGAGGACACAUACAGGUGAACAACCUCAUGACUGUGAUGUGUGUGGUAAAGGGUUUAGUCAGCGUCGUUAUUUACAGAUUCACAUGAGAAUACAUACAGGUGAAAAACCUCAUGACUGCAAUGUAUGUGGUAAAGGCUUCAGUCGGCUUGAUAGAUUAAAGAGUCAUAUAAAAAUACAUACGGACGAUAAACCACAUGUCUGUGAUUUAUGUGGUAGAGGAUUUAGUCAGUAUUUGUAUUUGCAGAGACACAAAAGAACACAUACAGGUUAUAAACCUCAUGACUGUGCCGUAUGUGGUAAAGACUUUAGUCGGGUGGAUGGUUUAAAGAGUCACAUGAAAACGCAUACGGACGAUAAACCGCAUGUCUGUGAUGUAUGUGGUAAAGGCUUUAGUCAGCGUCGUAAUUUACACAUGAGAAUACAUACAGGUGAACAACCUCAUGACUGUGAUGUGUGUGGUAAAGGGUUCAGUCAGUCGGGUUAUUUACAGAGGCACAUGAAAACACAUACGGGCGAUAAACCUCAUGGCAGUGUAUAUGUACCUCAUGACUGACGUAUGUUGCAAAAAGUUUAUUCACCUUCAUGAUUUACAGAGACACAUGAGAACACAUACAGGUGAUAAACCUUAUGACUGUGACGUAUGCGGUAAAAAGUUUAGUCGUCUUUGUAAUUUACAGACACACAUGAGAAUACAUACCGGUGAUUACCCUCAUGAAUGUGGUGUAUGCGGUAAAGGAUUUGGUCGGCUUGAUCAUUUACAGAAUCACACAAAAACACAUAAUGGCGAUAAACCUCAUAUCGAUGAUGUAUCCGUUAAAAACUUUAAUAAGCUUGGUAUUUUACAUGAUACUAGUAAUAAAUAAUAGCGAUAAAACUUAUAUCGGUGAUGUAUGCGUUAUAAAGUUUAAUGGGCUUGGUAUUUUACAUGAGAACAAAUACAGGUGAUUAACCUCUUGAAAGCGAUGUAAUUAUAUAAGUGGUUAAGUGUUUAGCCACGGUAGUUUACAGAUUAACAUGAGAACUCAUACCUAUAGUAAGAUCUGUGACGUAUACAUAUAUGGUUAAGAAUGUAUGCAUUUUAUUGAUUUGCACAUACUCAUAAUUGAAGCAUAUGAAAAUAUAUAUAGCUGAUACACCUUAUGUUUGUGAUGUAUGCGGUAAAGGAGUUACCAAUCCUAGUAGUUAAUAGUUUCGCAUGAAAACACAUACAAUGUACAGAGACACAUGAGAACCACAUAUACAGCCGAUAAAUCUCAUUAUUGUGAUGUUGAUGGUAAAAUGUUUAGUUAUCUUAG
RNAcentral lists this long non-coding RNA (9892 nucleotides) under Mytilus galloprovincialis (Mediterranean mussel). The record is from RNAcentral. Lineage: Eukaryota; Metazoa; Mollusca; Bivalvia; Mytilida; Mytilidae.